CAGUCGCCGCGGGAAUACGUAGGUGGCAAGCGUUGUCCGGAAUUAUUGGGCGUAAAGGGCGUGUAGGCGGCCUGGGGCGUCCCAUGUGAAAGGCCACGGCUCAACCGUGGAGGAGCGUGGGAUACGCUCAGGCUAGAGGGUGGGAGAGGGUGGUGGAAUUCCCGGAGUAGCGGUGAAAUGCGCAGAUACCGGGAGGAACGCCGAUGGCGAAGGCAGCCACCUGGUCCACUUCUGACGCUGAGGCGCGAAAGCGUGGGGAGCAAACCGGAUUAGAUACCCCAGUAGUCCCUGUCUCUUAUAA
This 301-nucleotide ribosomal RNA is filed under the name uncultured bacterium. Its description in RNAcentral is "partial 16S ribosomal RNA". It matches the Rfam family "Bacterial small subunit ribosomal RNA", at positions 509 to 809 of the family's 1533-position model. The record is from RNAcentral.